Non-coding RNA from Psammomys obesus (fat sand rat), 423 nucleotides. The record is from the annotation of a RefSeq genome assembly. Lineage: Eukaryota; Metazoa; Chordata; Mammalia; Rodentia; Muridae.
AUGCUUCAGACAAGCAGUGGAAUCAAGAUGGAGUCUCAGACUCAGGUCUUCAUAUUACUGCUCCUCUGCAUGUCUGGUGCUGAGGGGAACAUUGUGAUGACCCAGUCUCCUGAAUUUAUGUCCACAUCUAUAGGAGACAGGAUCAUCCUAAGCUGCAAGUCCAGUCAGAGUGUGAAUAAGUAUAUAGCUUGGUACCAACAGAAAUCUGGGCAGCCUCCUAAACCACUAAUCUACUAUGUAUCCACUUGGCACACUGGGGUCCCUGAUUGCUUCACAGGCAGUGGAUCUGGCACAGAUUUCACUCUCAGCAUCAGCAGUGUGCAAGCUGAAGACCUGGCAGUUUAUUACUGUCAGCACUAUGACAAUACUCCUCCCACAGUAUUCUUGACAAGGUCCAGUCUGAACAUUGGGCCUGAGCCUUGA